This 393-nucleotide ribosomal RNA is filed under the name uncultured bacterium. Its description in RNAcentral is "bacterial SSU rRNA". It matches the Rfam family "Bacterial small subunit ribosomal RNA", at positions 28 to 424 of the family's 1533-position model. The record is from RNAcentral.
GAUGAACGCUAGCGGCAGGCCUAAUACAUGCAAGUCGAACGGUAAGGCCCUUUCGGGGGUACACGAGUGGCGGACGGGUGCGUAACGCGUAUGCAACAUGCCUUCCAGCGGGGGAUAUACCAGGGAAACUUGGCGCAAUACCCCAUAGAAUUACGGGACCGCAUGGUCUUGUGAUUAAAACUCCGGUGCUGGGAGAUUGGCAUGCGUGACAUUAGCUAGUUGGCGGGGUAACGGCCCACCAAGGCGACGAUCUGUAGCGGGUCUGAGAGGAUGAUCCGCCACACUGGGACUGAGACACGGCCCAGACUCCUACGGGAGGCAGCAGUGGGGAAUUUUGGACAAUGGGCGCAAGCCUGAUCCAGCCAUGCCGCGUGCGGGACGAAGGCCUCGGUU